UUGUGUCACUCACUUGGAGCUUUUCUCUGGAACUUCCUUGGACAGCAACAAGUGCUCAUUAAGUCUUUAAUCCUAUUUAGGAUCCUUGUAAGUGACCUUAACCUCCCUUAAUCCAUUUUAGCUUAGUUAAUUAAGUAAAAGUCAAACCGUCGUAAUUAAGGUUUGACUUCGUGAUUAAUUAAAAUGUACUCUGUCAAAUCACGAAUUUAAGAUACCUUUAAGUAGGUAAUUAUGUGGGUAACAAACCCUUAAAAGGGUAUUUCCAUAUUCCUACUUUAAGCAUGUCAAUUGUCGAGUCAAAGCUAACUAUAAAAGUCAACAGAAUGCUUAAAUCCGAAUUAACUUAUAAUUAGCAAUGUAGGAUGCAUGCAACCUGUUUUAACAUUAAUGUCACUUGGUAAGUAAUGUAAGAACAUGUUCCAACAUGUUCCACUCGACAAUUUUCUGCUUAGACCCGGUUUGGAACCGAAAGUCGCAUAGUUUGACUUUCGCUUUGACUUUCAGUUCUGACCCAUUUUAGUCUAGAUUAAGAUUGCCUUAGAGCUUCUUUUGGACCUAAUAACAUGUUAGUAUAUCCUCCUGUGAUUAUACAACUUGGUUCAUUAGAUAUCUUGAUCGUAUGCAUGUUUCCGUUAAAUGCCCAUAUGUUGACCAUUAUGCCCAAAUGUCCAUAAAUCAUGAUUUUUGAGAAUAAAAAGGGUAGACAUCUUAGUUACUGAAUUAUAGACUUGUCCCCAAAAUUUGACAUCAGUUUGAGGUCUAGAUUAAGAGUUAUGCUCAUUAGCGUAAUUAGAAGCUUUCUUAGUAAAUAGUUAGCGUAAUUAGCAUGUAACCUACCUAAACCCAAAUUUUAUAUCAAAACCUUAUACCCACUGUUAUAUAAUAAUAUUUUGGGAAUAUUAAAGAUUUUUAUUUAUUUUUAGGCUGAGCAUAACAUAAGGUUUUAAGCUUAAUUCGGCUUAUGCCGGUUUUGCCCUUUUAGACCAUAAAAUGAGUUUUACAAAACCUUUUGACCCCAAACCUUUUUCUACUGAUUUGUUAUGUUAAAUAUAUUAUUUUGAGCCUUCUGGAAUUAUAAAAAUAUCAGCUUUUCUUUAAAACCCGGAAAUGGCUCCGAAUCGCCUUUUUAGGCAUUUUUACGACAUAGUAUAUGUUAAAACUAGUUUAUAUACAUAAGGUUUAAUACCUACUGAUAUAAUUAGUAAAAUUUUAUAUCAUAACAGUAAAAUUAAGGUUGAGAACUCAGGUUUCCAUUUUUGACCUUUUAAGUUUAUGUGAAAUUACCAAAAUGCCCUUAUGAGGCGUAAAGUGAGUUGAAAAUCAUUUGGGGCAUAAUAGGACAUAACUUACUGAUAUUACAACAUAUUUGGUGCAUAUAAUCUCAGGAAACUUGUAUAUGAUUUAUAUGGUUACCCGUUACGCACUUUCGCGUUCGGAUCGGCUUAUGUAACUAGUUUACGCACAUUAGCCGAAACGGGCUAAACCGUAUCAUCUUAGUCUCUAAAUUCAGAAUGUAUUUAGUUUACCCAUAAUAUACAAGUCUCCAAACUUGUCGGGUCUAAGUCACAUUCCUUUUCGGUUUUCGCUUUCCUCGCGAUUAAACCAUGUUUAUCCUUUGAAACUAACCGGUCUAAGCUUAGGCUAUAUUAAAAGACCCGUUAGGAUUCUAAUAGGUUAUUAUAAACCUUCGUUCCAGAAUAGGAGCCCAGUAAAAGACACUUGCAUUUUGCUUUUGUGGUUUAUACUUGCUCAGGUAAAUACUUUUAACUUAUUUUCCGUUAUACGGGCUUGGGGGUACGGUAUAUAAAAUACCGCUUGGUCGGGCAAUUGACCCUAACUCAUUAGUAGUUGGGUAUUAUCAAUGUGACCCGUUUGAAAACUAGUUUUGUUUGUUUUACGCCUUUGGGAGUUUAAUGACCAUGUCCCGGAUAUCCUUGGCAUCAUUUUAAGAAAUGGCCACGACCUUGACACCCGGGUGUAGGCGUACACCCGGUAAUGUGUCCAUUUAUUAAGGUAUAAACGUUGGCUUCCCGCCGCGGAUUUAUACUGAUUGGUGUGUCAAUUAACCUUAAACCCGGCACGACCCGGGCGACUAAACGCAUAACGAACAUGUAAUUCUUUUACAAGUUUAACUUUGAUUAAUUAUUCCCAAGUUAUAAAAUGUUUUGUGCCUUGUGCAUUCAAAUCAAUUUUUAAACCUUUUCAAAAUGAGUCGGUUAAAUUGUAUUUACCAGUGCAAACUGACGUAUUUUCCCCAAAAAGAUUAAGUGCAGGAUCUACAUGGAAUAGGCUGGUUUCUCCUUAGCAUCAUAGAGUCUCGCAAAUUUUGGGAUGCAAUUAUCUAUAUUACAUUUGAUGGUUGAAGUAAAUCUAUUUUUAUUGCUUCCGCUGUGCAUUAUAAUUUGUGUUGUUUGA
Molecule: long non-coding RNA, 2415 nt
Filed under: Helianthus annuus (common sunflower)
Lineage: Eukaryota; Viridiplantae; Streptophyta; Magnoliopsida; Asterales; Asteraceae
Description: hypothetical non coding rna
Source: RNAcentral